Molecule: ribosomal RNA, 827 nt
Filed under: Catharsius sp. sp88
Lineage: Eukaryota; Metazoa; Arthropoda; Insecta; Coleoptera; Scarabaeidae
Description: SSU rRNA
Rfam family: Eukaryotic small subunit ribosomal RNA
Source: RNAcentral
ACGAAAAAUAACGAUACGGGACUCAUCCGAGGCCCCGUAAUCGGAAUGAGUACACUCUAAACCCUUUAACGAGGAUCAAUUGGAGGGCAAGUCUGGUGCCAGCCGCCGCGGUAAUUCCAGCUCCAAUAGCGUAUAUUAAAGUUGUUGCGGUUAAAAAGCUCGUAGUCGAAUUUGUGUCCCGCGCCGCCGGUUCAUCGCUCGCGGUGUCAACUGGCGUGUCCGCGGGACGUCCUGCCGGUGGGCUUAGCCCCCCGUGGGCGGCCCAAUCUCAAUCCCACCGCGGUGCUCUUCACUGAGUGUCGAGGUGGGCCGGCACGUUUACUUUGAACAAAUUAGAGUGCUUAAAGCAGGCUAAAACAUCGCCUGAAUACUGUGUGCAUGGAAUAAUGGAAUAGGACCUCGGUUCUAUUUUGUUGGUUUUCGGAACCCCGAGGUAAUGAUUAAUAGGAACGGAUGGGGGCAUUCGUAUUGCGACGUUAGAGGUGAAAUUCUUGGAUCGUCGCAAGACGGACAGAAGCGAAAGCAUUUGCCAAAAACGCUUUCAUUGAUCAAGAACGAAAGUUAGAGGUUCGAAGGCGAUCAGAUACCGCCCUAGUUCUAACCAUAAACGAUGCCAGCUAGCGAUCCGCCGACGUUCCUCCGAUGACUCGGCGGGCAGCUUCCGGGAAACCAAAGCCUUUGGGUUCCGGGGGAAGUAUGGUUGCAAAGCUGAAACUUAAAGGAAUUGACGGAAGGGCACCACCAGGAGUGGAGCCUGCGGCUUAAUUUGACUCAACACGGGAAACCUCACCAGGCCCGGACACCGGAAGGAUUGACAGAUUGAGAGC